Molecule: non-coding RNA, 3291 nt
Organism: Chrysemys picta bellii (western painted turtle)
Lineage: Eukaryota; Metazoa; Chordata; Testudines; Emydidae
Source: RefSeq, a predicted model, not a curated record
CAGAGCCCCCCGGACCGAUGGUCAGGACUCAGGCAGUGUGAGUGACACUGAAAAUCAGCUCACGUGCUGCCUUCGGCACACGUGCCAUAGGUUGCUUACCCCUGGCCUAUAGCCUGGUAGUGAGGACACCCACCUGGAAUGCGGGUGAGGGAAGGGGAGACCUGGAUUCUAAUCUCUGCUCCAGGCCAGAGCAGAGAUUUGAACCUGAGUCUUCCUUCUUCCAGAUGGGUGCCCUAACCACUGGGCUAAAGGCUAUCCAAGGAACUUCACCUACACAGUUAUGUGUUUUGUGAAGGAUACCAAGGUCCCCUUGUGAAUUUAGUUUUUUUUAAAAAUGGCAAAAACUAUUGAGCAAAUUCAUGAAUAGUUUCAGGCUGACUGAAACUGCAUUUUUCAUGGAAUAAACUAUUUUAAAAAUUUUGCUGAGCCCCAUGUGGGAUGCUUUCCAAAAAAAAUCCUUCAAAGACUGAACUCUGGCCUGUAUUUCAGCAAAGAGUUACACUAAGGUGCAGGAAAGGGGAGUGCACCAGUAGCAGUUAUAUGUUAAUUUAGCCCAUCCCAUUAUACAAAUUGAUUCCUGCAAAUGUUGGAUUUCAGCAUAGAAAAAUGUUUCUACAAACAGUUUCAACUCUGUCCUCACAACUAUAUACUAUUCUCCCCAGAUAAAACCAAUAUAUCCUUGAUCUCUUUUGCGUCUCACCUGAUCCUAUCUAUGAGAUGCUCCUCCUUUAAAAAAUAAAAAGGAAAAGAAAGGAAAUUCCCAGGUGAAAAACUUAUCUUCAUUAACUUCUCAAAGAAUAAUGAUCAGUUAAAGUAAGGUGGAUAGAGAUCUGAAUAUCUUACAAUUCAUGUAGAUUGUUAUGGAUUCCCAUACCUGCUGCAGUCUCAGACUGUAUUAACUUUUCUACAGAUUCUGCAUGAGGUUGGUGGAGGAACAAUGUAUAUCUUACAUUGCCUCUCUGCCUUCCGAAUCCUGCAGAGAACUUCCAUGUACCAGAGAUUAAGAAUAUGUGCCAUGGAGCAGGGCUGACCCCUUACUUUUGCACAGGAACAGAGAGAUCUUGUGCACAGAAAAGACCUUCCAUAUGGCAAUUUGUGGGGGACGGAGAAGAAUAGCAACAAUCUGGCUCUAGAAUUUUAAGACAAAGCUGUUCUUAAUUAUCAUUGUAACCAUUAUGAUUUAUCUGCAUUUGCAAAGCAUCACACAUCAUAAAAGGAGCUGGGUACAAUUUUUUAAAACAGUAGCACACUGCCAGAAAAUGACAAAAAAAAGGACAAUCUUCAUAUAUCCUGGACCACCACCAUAAUUUAAAGGAACUCAGAAACGCUAUUUCCCCAUGAAUACAUACUUGGUCCUAAUGAUAUUUCUGUAAACGUUUUAAGUAAAACAUGUUUUCCAUUCCAAAUGUGUUCUGUAAUUUGAUGCCUUCAAAGAAAGGAUGUAUGAGUCAUCUUCAUGAAACAUGCAAUUGAGGCGAGUCACUGUGUAGCCAACUAAAAUAUCUAAGUAAUAUUAACAGUGUUAUGUUACUUAUGUAGUUGCCCAAGGUUUUAAGAACCAAAUCUGUUCUUUUUACUACAAUAAGAAUUACUGUUGUGUUUUUUUUAUGUGGAAAGUGAGGCUAACAUAACUACAGAAUUAAGAUCAAAAUUUAGUUUGAAAGACAAGUUACUGCAGAGGUAUUCUCAUUAGAAAACCGAUGAGGCAUUAGGCAUUGACCUGUGACCCACCAUAUCCAAUAUUACUUUUGUUUCUUGUUCAGUACUUGAUGCUUUAAUAUCUGUUUCCUGGCUUAAUUCGAGCAUGGGCUGUCAGAUUGGAUGGAGAAUUCAGUGUGUUUUUGGGUGGUUAGGAUUAGUAAAAUUUCAGAUUUUGCCUGGAAUGCUCCAUUAUUUCUAACUAUUCCCCUUUUUCUGUUAUGAGAGUGAAAUUUACUUCUUCCUGUACCAGACAGAAUAAAUUGGGUGAUGUGCUGAAGGUUGGAGAGGAUGAAAUUCACACUUCAAAACCUAUGGGCAAGGUAUAUUAUCAUAGCCCCUCGGAGCCUUAGUCAUAGACCCGGAUCCCAUUGUGCUGGGCACUGUACAAACACAGAAUGAAAAGAUGGUCCCUGCCCCAAAGUGCGUACGAUCAAGCUGAAUCUCAUGCUGCAUCUAUGACUGCCAAGCACUGGACACCAUUGUGAGGCACUGGACCAGCGGCUGACUGCUUCCUGACUAACUGACUGCUCCAGUUUACCCUCCAGUUCUAGCAUUUGACUUGUUUCCUGGACUCUGCCUACCCUGGAGUCAGCUGUAACUGGUAGGCCAAAUCUCCUUUCCACCACUAAGCCUGACUGUCCAUUGCCCAAUUGGUUACAAACACAGAUAAUUCAAGAAAAAAUGGUUACUAACCUUUCCCUAACUGUUGUUCUUCAAGAUGUGUUGCACAUGUCCAUUCUAUUGUAGAUGUGUGCAUGUCCCGAGCAAAGUGGCCAGAAAUUUCUCCCUCAGUGGUACCCGUCAGGGCGGCUCGGGCGCCCUCUGGUGCCAUGCGCUCAUAGCGCUGGUAUGAAGGACUCAGCUGGCGACACCCACCCCAGUUGCUUCUUUACAGCCAAUUCUGAUGUUGAGGCGUAGCAGGGCGGCUCGUGGAAUGGAUAUUUGCAACACAUCUCAAAGAACAACUGUUAUGGAGAGGUGUAAUAAGUACUCAAGAAUGACCUGCAGCAACAACCGCUUGGGCGAGACUCCACAUUGAGAAGCCUCUCAGAUGGAGCACCGCUUCCAUUCUGAGAGGUCUUGACAGGCCAGUGGGGUGGAGUGCCUGGAGGACUGCUGAGAUCUGUAGUGCUUCCUUAAAGUCGCUGAAGUAUACAGUCCCAGGGACUUAAAGGUCGCCCAGGAGUCCUUCAGUCCACGAAGUUUCAUGUCAGUCUGCUCCAAAAAGAGCAAAGCUCCCUCACACAAGGAAGAUCCUGGAGAGUUUGCUGGACCUCCUGCAGGAGGCCAGAGGACUGUAGCCAUGAACUCCUACACGUGGCUGCUGCGGAAACCAUGGACCUCGCCGCCGAAUCCGCUGCAUUCAGGGCAGCUUGCAAGGAAAGCUCUGGCUAUGAAUUUCCCCUCAUCCACCAGCAAGGAAAACUCCAGCCUGGCUUCUUGAGGCAGCAAGUUUUUGAACUUCAACAUGGAGUCCCAUAUGUUGAAGUCAUAUUUGCUCAGCAACACCUGCUGGUUAGCGAUCCUGAGCUGCAAACCCCUGGUAGAGUAGACCUUUCUACCAAAUAAAUCCAAGUUUUUGAUUCCUUU